RNAcentral lists this small nucleolar RNA (85 nucleotides) under Spinacia oleracea (spinach). RNAcentral's name for it is "Small nucleolar RNA R38". It matches the Rfam family "Small nucleolar RNA R38". Rfam says of the family: snoR38 is a C/D box small nucleolar RNA conserved across yeast, human, Arabidopsis and rice. The record is from Rfam by way of RNAcentral. Lineage: Eukaryota; Viridiplantae; Streptophyta; Magnoliopsida; Caryophyllales; Amaranthaceae.
UAUUGUGGAUGAUGAGAUUUGAAUAAAUAUCACAGUUAUCCCUGUCUGAGACAAUUGUGCUGAAAAUUUGUGAUCUGACAUUUAA